This 774-nucleotide ribosomal RNA is filed under the name uncultured Neocallimastigales. RNAcentral describes it as "partial large subunit ribosomal RNA". It matches the Rfam family "Eukaryotic large subunit ribosomal RNA", at positions 26 to 616 of the family's 3401-position model. The record is from RNAcentral. Lineage: Eukaryota; Fungi; Neocallimastigomycota; Neocallimastigomycetes; Neocallimastigales.
CGCAUCUGUGCAUGCAGCAUAUCAAUAAGCGGAGGAAAAGAAACUAACAAGGAUUCCCCUAGUAACGGCGAGUGAAGCGGGAAGAGCUCAAAUUUGAAAUCUUAAAGGGUUUCCCUUUACGAAUUGUAGUUUAAAGAAGUGUUUUCUGUUGAGGUUUUGGUAAAAGUUCUUUGGAAUAGGACAUCAUAGAGGGUGAGAAUCCCGUAUUUGGACCUUUACUUUCAACUUUGUGAUACACUUUCAAAGAGUCGGAUUGUUUGGGAAUGCAGUCCAAAAUGGGUGGUAAAUUUCAUCUAAAGCUAAAUAUUGGCGAGAGACCGAUAGCGAACAAGUACCGUGAGGGAAAGAUGAAAAGAACUUUGAAAAGAGAGUUAAACAGUACGUGAAAUUGUCAAAAGGGAAGCGUUUGACACCAGUGUUGUUUUUCUGAAAAUCAAUUAAAGAACUGUUUAUGCUAAGCUGUUUAGACUUUAUCAGCUAACUGUUUAGUUUUGAGCUUUUCUUAAUGCACUUUUCAGUUAACAAGUCAACAUCAAUUUCUUUUGCUGUAAAAAAGCUUGAGGAAGGUGGCUUGAGAUUCGUCUUAAGUGUUUAUAGCCUCUUGCCUAUGCAGUCGGAGAGAUUGAGGUCUGCAGCGUAGAUCCUUCGGGGCUAAAUGCAUUUGUGCUAAGUUAUAGCAUUUUAUAGACAACUUGUUGACUAUGAUUUGUCUUGUAGCUUACUCGCUUAUGUUAUUUUACCUACGCUUAGGAUGUUGAGCGCAUGUCUCUCUCU